UGGGGGAUAUUGCACAAUGGGCGAAAGCCUGAUGCAGCGACGCCGCGUGGGGGAUGAAGGCUUUCGGGUUGUAAACCUCUUUCGCUAUCGAACAAGGCCCGCUUAGGGUGGGUUGAGGGUAGGUGGAGAAGAAGCGCCGGCUAACUACGUGCCAGCAGCCGCGGUAAUACGUAGGGCGCGAGCGUUGUCCGGAAUUAUUGGGCGUAAAGGGCUUGUAGGCGGCUUGUUGCCCCUGCUGUGAAAACGCGGGGCUUAACUUCGCGCGUGCAGUGGGUACGGGCAGGCUUGAGUGUGGUAGGGGUGACUGGAAUUCCAGGUGUAGCGGUGGAAUGCGCAGAUAUCUGGAGGAACACCGAUGGCGAAGGCAGGUCACUGGGCCAUUACUGACGCUGAGGAGCGAAAGCAUGGGUAGCGAACAGG
Molecule: ribosomal RNA, 420 nt
Filed under: bacterium
Lineage: Bacteria
Description: partial 16S ribosomal RNA
Rfam family: Bacterial small subunit ribosomal RNA
Source: RNAcentral